CCUACGGGCGGCUGCAGUCGAGAAUCAUUCACAAUGGGGGAAACCCUGAUGGUGCGACGCCGCGUGGGGGAAUGAAGGUCUUCGGAUUGUAAACCCCUGUCAUGUGGGAGCAAAUUAAAAAGAUAGUACCACAAGAGGAAGAGACGGUUAAUUCUGUGCCAGUAGCCGCGGUAAUACAGAGGUCUUAAGCGUUGUUCGGAAUCACUGGGCGUAAAGCGUGCGUAGGCGGUGUCGUAAGUCGUGUGUGAAAGGCGCGGGCUCAACCCGCGAACGGCACAUGAUACUGGGAGACUAGAGUAAAGGAGAGGGAGCCGGAAUUCUCGGUGUAGCAGUGAAAUGCGUAGAUAUCGAGAGGAACACUCGUGGCGAAGGCGGGUUCCUGAACAUUAACUGACGCUGAGGCACGAAGGCCAGGGGAGCGAAAGGGAUUAGAUACCCGAGUAGUC
RNAcentral lists this ribosomal RNA (446 nucleotides) under uncultured bacterium. RNAcentral describes it as "partial 16S ribosomal RNA". It matches the Rfam family "Bacterial small subunit ribosomal RNA", at positions 338 to 795 of the family's 1533-position model. The record is from RNAcentral.